UAUGCUGCACAUGGAAGCAGGGCCAGUCUUGGCUCCAGCCACAAGGGAGGUUUAAUCUCUUUAAUCUGUUCUUCAUCUUCUAGAACCGAUGUCUGCACACCAGGGUGACUCAAUUCAGUGCCAGGAGGGCAAGCUGCUGUGCGUGACCAAGGAAACCGAGAGCGGGCUGCCCUUGUGAACUUGCUGAGUGCCUGAUGGAGAUCAGGAGAAGAGAGCUGGGGGAGUAGGGAAAGCAUUGCUUCUCUCCUGCUUGUUGGCCGAGGCAAGAUUGAUUGGCUGCACUGGCGAGAGCACAGCGCACAUCAAGGAGAGCAGCUCUGAAUGUGACAGUCUGCAGACUUGGGCAUCAGUUCAGCCAGCUUCCUCAUCUCAGCGUAUCUGCAGAUCCACCCAGCAGCCGUGGUGUCCCCUGCGCUCCAGCAGCACGCCAGGGAGCCCGAGGGGAUGGCAGCAAAGGGGGCACACAGAGGGAAGAGAAGGGAGUCACUCAAAAAGUCACACCCACACAGCAUCCCUUGGCCUUCAGGAGGAAAACACCCUUCCCAAUCCUACACAAAAACGCAGAAAUCUGACAGAGAGAAGCCAGAGGUCUCUCCUGGAGGCUGGGUUUUCAUCCUGGAGGCAGAAGGUCCUUGCCCUUCCAGGAGAGCUGUGCAAUCUCUGCAGGGCUCACAAAUGCUAAGUGAAGAGAACACGAUUUUCUAAUCAGGCAAUAAAGGAGUGGGACAACACCGCUUUAGCACAAUAUUCUCCUCUGCAUCAUUUUUCCUCCAGAGGAAGCACUAAGGGAGAUCUUCAAACUGCAUCCAGGCCACAGCACAAGAAGGACAUGGGCAGAGGAGGCCAUGGAGAUGCUCCCAGGGCUGGAGCCCCUCUGUUCUGCAGUCAGGCUGGGAGAGCUGGGGGGGCUCACCUGGAGAGGAGAGGGCUCCAAGGAGACCUCAGAGCCCCUUGCAGUGCUCUGAGGAUGAGAGGGCUCACUGCCCCUGCCACCUGCACCUCUCUGUCCUGUGCCCUCUUGGGGCAGCUUGUCAAAUGACUUCAUGCAGCUGGAGAAAGUUCCAGCUCAUUUAAUCAACCUGCCUGCUGAAACCCCAGGUGGUUCCCAAAAAAGCAGCUGAAUCCAGUCCUUUUUCCUGAAAUGUGAUGUCUGAAUUCAUCUUAUUGGAUGGAUCUGCUCCUUCUUGGACCUCAAGUCUCUGUGCUGGGCUAGAAGACAAUCUCUGCUGCCUUCAAACACACCUCCAGAACUGGCUGAAACUCCAGGAUCAGCACAUCCUUGCUUUGUUCUCUUCUGAAAUGAGGAUCUUAGCAUAUUCAGUGGCAUGCAACUGAGCCAUAAAGCACCUGGAUGGGAAAUCCAGGGCAGCACUUUCCACACAGGUACCUAUGGCUCCGUGAGCUUCAGACAGAACAGGGACUCGGGGCUCUUUGUGUCAGAUGCAUUCACAUUCCCCAGCCAACAGCCCCCCUCCUACACCGAGAGGCUUCAUCUGAUUUUCACACAGCCCUGGGGAAGGCACUGGGCUCUCCCAUUGCUGCCUUUAGAUGUGCUAGGUCACACGUGGGUCUGUUCUCCCGCCGUCACUGUACCGCCGCUAUCGCUGUGACACGGACGUGGGACACCACCUGCCAUGGCCCUGCUGGCACUUCCCACCCUGGGAGGGACUCCUGUCUGCCCAGGGAUGGUACAGGCAUCAGCAGAUGGGGAUGCACAGUCCAGGAGUUUUGCCUUCCUCUUUUUGAGUCACAAAUUGCUUGUGAGCAUGUCCUUUCUGCCCUCAUCCUGUCAAAGUUUUUCCUCCGUCCUUCCAACCAUCCCUUUGUAUUUCCUCAUGUUCUGUGUCUGUUUUCUGGCCCCUGUGUGGGUUGUAGGGUAAAGCACCACCACUCAAACACCCUGUAUCUGCAUCUAAUAAAUUCUCAUGAGGUCACAUCUGCUCUGUCUUGCUCUGCUGGACUGACAGGAGCCCAGAUUUGCCUCCAAGUAUCAACUUUGUCACUUCUGAGUUACUCAGGAACAUUCACUGUCAUCAACACAUGUGUGAUGCAGCCCUAUUCUUCCCAAAGAUGUUCUCCCCUACUAAUGCUGGUACAUUUUUACAGGAGGGAAAUCCCAAACUGCACAAACACACAAAAAGUUCUUUUGUGUCUCUUUUUAUUUGUUGUUGAUGCUACCUUGUUUUUCCAAACCUGAAGAAUGAGCGGUGCAUCAGAACAGGAGGAAAUGACCACACUGAAUGGUAAUAACUGGAUUAAGAGAUUCAGUAGCAGACUCUCACCUAUGCUGUUUAUAAUGCAGAUUAACUAUUUAAUCCCUCUGUUUCUCCAGCUUCAAUUCUCCAUUCCCUUUGUCUUGCUUUCCCUGACAUCCUCCCUCACCCCUCCAGUCCCCUGCUGCUCUGUGGCCCCCUGGCUGGAUCCCUCCUGUGCCUCCUCCUGGGGCUGUGGGUUUGGCCCAUCCCAGAGCUGGUUCUGCUCAGUUAGGCCAUGGAAAUCUCCAAAGUGAGUUGUGUGUGCUGCUGUGCCUGGCCAAUGAGCCCUGCCACUGCUCGCUCGCCAGAACCGCUGUAAUGACCCUGGUGCUGGGGAUGAUUAAUCAGGAAAUGGUAAAGAAAAUGCUCAUAAUGAAGCACUCGAAUUUCUGACUUUACUGGGGGCUGCAAACUCACAAACAAGGUCAUGGAAAAGAAAACCAUUGAGGAAUUGAGGAUGACUAAAUACAAGGGCUUUAACUGUGGGUCAGGAAGUCUCUAAAGCACAAAGUAUUGCAGGCUGGAAGGAGACCAUGGGGGAGUGUUUGACCGUGAUCACACUGUCAUGGGGGAGUGUUUGACCAUGAUCACACUGUCAUGGUGGGGCAUUUGUCCAUGAUCACACUAUCAUGGGGGAGUGUUUGACCAUGAUCACACUCUCCUGUGUACUGGGCAGUGCUGGGGACAGGUGCUGAGCCUUUGGACCAUGUGUCACACCAUAGCCACGACAUCAUUUACCACAUUUUGAUGGUGGAGACAGAGUGGCCUUUGCCAUGUACCACCAGGAACACCAGGCUUGGUGUGUGUGUCACCCACCCCUCCUCUCUGCUUGCAUUGGCCAUGUCCUUGGGGAGCUGCCCUUGGAGAAAAGAGCAGAAACAUCUCCAAACCUGGACUCCUCCUUCCUGCUCAACCGCAGUGCAAGAGCAGGGCCCAGCCUGUCCUAGGUGAGACAGAGACAAUACAAAGCAACACUCUCCAUUUUCAGAAGGCUUCAAACGUGUUUUUAUUAUAACAUGCAUGUUUGUUAUACAUUCUUACAAAACUCCUAAGUUUACACUUUACUCAUUGGUCACAAAAGACAAAGAAAGUGCUCAUUGGAACAGGCAGUUGCAGGUUUCUCUUAUUUCUCCUGCUUUCUUUCUUGGUUUCUAUGUCAACGACCUUGGUAGAAAAUUCUUUCAGAGGUAAACAUGGAUCCUCUUAUCAAACUUCUCUCUGGCUCACAGAAGUCACUGUAAAACCUCUCCCACACCAGCCCAAACACCUCUAUCUUCUGUGGAGAGUCUUAUCCAGUGUUUAAAAUUCCUCUGCCAGCUUGGUGUGGGACCAUGCAGGACACCCUGAAUGCCAGAUUCAAGCUGCAAACAUAAAUGGAGUGAGGUUGGCCUAAAGUCCCAAGCUGGGGUUUCCAGCUCUCUGCACUGACAGUGCAGGCUUCACAUCCUCUUCCCUCUGGAAUUUCUCACAUUCUCAUUUUUUUAUCUCUAUUACUGAGUCCACAUAGAUUAUAUGAAUGUGAAGGUAUGCUUGUUAAAAACCCCAAAUACAUCCCUGAGAUGCAAAGGCUGUUUUCAAAUCAUGGGUUUUAAAGGGGCAUCUGCCACAAAGGGCUGAGGGUGACUAAUACAGCCGCUGGCUGAGAGGAAUCAGCAGCAUUGCUGAUAAGCUCAUUUGAUAAAGCCUUUGCUGGGCACUGCAGAUGCAGGCUGAGUCCAGCCUUUAAUAUCUAUCCCAGUGCCACAGGCAGUGCUCUCAGGGCUGCCAGGAAAUGCUGUAACCCUGUCCACCUCUCAUGCAGCUUUCAGGGAGUCCUGACAAGUCCCCACCGUGUGUUCUUACAUGUCACAGCUGCCACUGACCUGGCCAGAGAUCACCAGCUGAUACCCCAGUAAAUGCAGGCUGGCACCAAGGUUUCACAGGCAGCACAGACCCUUUGUGCAGCUCUGUGGGGUUAUGGUGUCCUGGAUGGCUGAAGCAAUGAAUAAAUCCCAUAUAAUCCUUCCAGCUGGUCACUUGACCACAGAAAAACUCUUCUGUUGGAAGCUGCUGACCUUGCCCCAUGAGAUUGGAUGUUGGGGCUGGGUUAUAACAGCCUUCACCUGCAUGAGCUUGUCCCAUCACCAGAAAUAAGGGAUUUAAUAAGGGAUGAAAAGUGAAUGGAGUAGCUGAGAUUGCUGAAAGACAUUGGGGCUUUAGAAAAGAAAGUAGCAAUUUGACAUGUCAAGUGUUCUGUGACAGAGAAACAAAUCAAAAACAAACCACUGCAGUGCUGUAAAUGAAA
Molecule: long non-coding RNA, 4539 nt
Organism: Zonotrichia albicollis (white-throated sparrow)
Lineage: Eukaryota; Metazoa; Chordata; Aves; Passeriformes; Passerellidae
Source: RefSeq, a predicted model, not a curated record